This 482-nucleotide ribosomal RNA is filed under the name uncultured bacterium. RNAcentral's name for it is "partial 16S ribosomal RNA". It matches the Rfam family "Bacterial small subunit ribosomal RNA", at positions 30 to 507 of the family's 1533-position model. The record is from RNAcentral.
AUUGAACGCUGGCGGCAUGCCUUACACAUGCAAGUCGAACGGUAACAGGUCUUCGGAUGCUGACGAGUGGCGAACGGGUGAGUAAUACAUCGGAACGUGCCCGAUCGUGGGGGAUAACGAAGCGAAAGCUUUGCUAAUACCGCAUAAGAUCUACGGAUGAAAGCAGGGGACCGCAAGGCCUUGCGCGAACGGAGCGGCCGAUGGCAGAUUAGGUAGUUGGUGGGAUAAAAGCUUACCAAGCCGACGAUCUGUAGCUGGUCUGAGAGGACGACCAGCCACACUGGGACUGAGACACGGCCCAGACUCCUACGGGAGGCAGCAGUGGGGAAUUUUGGACAAUGGGCGAAAGCCUGAUCCUGCCAUGCCGCGUGCAGGAUGAAGGCCUUCGGGUUGUAAACUGCUUUUGUACGGAACGAAAAGACUCUGGUUAAUACCUGGGGUCCAUGACGGUACCGUAAGAAUAAGCACCGGCUAACUACGUG